Molecule: long non-coding RNA, 1019 nt
Organism: Mercenaria mercenaria
Lineage: Eukaryota; Metazoa; Mollusca; Bivalvia; Venerida; Veneridae
Exons: 2
Source: RefSeq, a predicted model, not a curated record
AGGUACAUUCUAUAGCCAAAAUAUCGACAUUUUAGUGCUUGUCUUUACAACCAUUUUGCGAAUUUUUACUGAAGAAUUACAUAAUUUGAUGAAUGAAAUGCCUAUUGAAAAUGAUUUAGCUCUCCUUUGAAGUAUAUAUCUUGAAAAACAAAUGCCAACUUGUACCCGAAAAUCCGGACAGAAGACAGAAAAAAAUAUUUUUAGGCGGUCAUAUUUUUUCAAAAUCGACAGCUGCUACAUUCAAGCAUUAUUCUGCCUAAAAUUGUGACCAAAACGUACCUAGAUAAUAUAUCUACUUCCUGCGAGCAAUCAAUUUUUAAAUAAAUUUGAUGAAAGUGUCUUUUAUAGUCGAUAAUUUCAGAUAAUUUUUAUUUUCUCUUUUUUUCAUGCAGACAUCAUCAUUUCACAACUAAUUCGAGAUAAACAUGCGUAUCUAUGACAAAAAUCCAUACUAUCAUUACAUGGGCAAUACACAUAAAAGUCAGAUGUGUCAAUUUUAUUUUUAGAAACGGUUGCAGUCACAAAGUAAUUGACAGAAUAAAAUGUAACUUUCAGCAUAUUUUUUCACACAAAAAUGUGUUAGUGCGUAGAAAUGUGAUCAGGCUGAGCACAUGGCCUUAUGGAUUUCAUGAUUUUCGGCGCUUAACGUGAAAACAGUUAAAGCACAGGAUUCACAAACAUUAAAUUUAUGCUUAAAUCUAUAUGCGAUACAUUAUGCAUAUAAUUAUAAUUCACGAUAAUAUCGCAUAUGGAAGUAACUGGAAUAAAUUUGGACUAUUUCCUUCGGAAGUUUACAGGACUGUCCUGUCAAAAGGCCUCCCUCGUGUUUACAUAUUUUGACAGGUCGAGUUGUUCUGGGACUAGGAACAAUGAUGAAUGAAUACCUGCACCAUGGAAACAAUGUCAUUUGCAAACUUUUUGAACUUGUGCUGGGCGUUCACAUUGACAUUUCUUGUUCAACAGGAAUACAUGAUGUCGACCAACAGUACAGCUAGGUAAAUGUCAAUGUUCUAUAUAUA